This 800-nucleotide ribosomal RNA is filed under the name uncultured crenarchaeote. RNAcentral describes it as "bacterial SSU rRNA". It matches the Rfam family "Archaeal small subunit ribosomal RNA", at positions 139 to 922 of the family's 1478-position model. The record is from RNAcentral. Lineage: Archaea; Thermoproteati; Thermoproteota.
ACUGGGGCUAAUCCCCGAUAGGUGAGGAUGCCUGGAAUGGUUCCUCACCGAAAGGGCGCUGGCACCGUGCUGUCAGCGUCGCCCAAGGAUGGGGCCGCGGCCGAUCAGGUUGUUGGUGGGGUAACGGCCCACCAAGCCGAUAACCGGUACGGGCCGUGGGAGCGGGAGCCCGGAGAUGGGCACUGAGAUAAGGGCCCAGGCCCUACGGGGCGCAGCAGUCGCGAAAACUCCGCAAUGCGCGAAAGCGCGACGGGGCCACCCCGAGUGCCGCCCGCUGAGGGUGGCUUUUCCCCGGUGUAGAUAGCCGGGGGAAUAAGGAGAGGGCAAGUCUGGUGUCAGCCGCCGCGGUAAUACCAGCUCUCCGAGUGGUGGGGACGAUUAUUGGGCCUAAAGCGUCCGUAGCCGGCCUGGCAAGUCUCCCGUUAAAUCCAGCGAUCUAAUCGCUGGACUGCGGGAGAUACUGUUGGGCUAGGGGGCGGGAGAGGCCGGCGGUAUUCCCGGGGUAGGGGUGAAAUCCUAUAAUCCCGGGAGGACCACCAGUGGCGAAGGCUGCCGGCUGGAACGCGCCCGACGGUGAGGGACGAAAGCCGGGGGAGCGAACCGGAUUAGAUACCCGGGUAGUCCCAGCUGUAAACGAUGCGGGCUAAGUGUCGGGACGGCCUUAGAGCCGUCCCGGUGCUGCAGGGAAGCCGUUAAGCCCGCCGCCUGGGGAGUACGGCCGCAAGGCUGAAACUUAAAGGAAUUGGCGGGGGAGCACCACAAGGGGUGAAGCUUGCGGUUUAAUUGGAGUCAACGCCGGA